ACUCCUACGGGAGGCAGCAGUGGGAAUAUUGCACAAUGGGCGCAAGCCUGAUGCAGCCAUGCCGCGUGUAUGAAGAAGGCCUCGGUUGUGAAUGUACUUACAGUCAGUGAGGAAGGAUGGAGUCGUUAAUAGCGGCCUCAUUUGACGUUAGCUGCAGAAGAAGCACCGGCUAACUCCGUGCCAGCAGCCGCGGUAAUACGGAGGGUGCGAGCGUUAAUCGGAAUUACUGGGCGUAAAGCGCAUGCAGGUGGUUUGUUAAGUCAGAUGUGAAAGCCCGGGGCUCAAGCCUCGGAAUAGCAUUUGAAACUGGCAGACUAGAGUACUGUAGAGGGGUGGUAGAAUUUCAGGUGUAGCGGUGAAAUGCGUAGAGAUCUGAAGGAAUACCGGUGGCGAAGGCGGCCCCNGCCUGACAGAUACUGACACUCAGAUGCGAAAGCGUGGGGAGCAAACAGGAUUAGAUACCCUGGUAGGCUCU
Molecule: ribosomal RNA, 475 nt
Filed under: uncultured bacterium
Lineage: Bacteria
Description: bacterial SSU rRNA
Rfam family: Bacterial small subunit ribosomal RNA
Source: RNAcentral